Molecule: ribosomal RNA, 240 nt
Filed under: uncultured bacterium
Lineage: Bacteria
Description: partial 16S ribosomal RNA
Rfam family: Bacterial small subunit ribosomal RNA
Source: RNAcentral
UGGGUAACCUGCCUCAAAGAGGGGAAUAGCCUCCCGAAAGGGAGAUUAAUACCGCAUAAUAUGUUUUGGUCACAUGGCCUUAACAUCAAAGGAUUUUCUUCGGAAAUUCCACUUUGAGAUGGACCCGCGGCGCAUUAGCUAGUUGGUGAGGUAACGGCUCACCAAGGCAACGAUGCGUAGCCGACCUGAGAGGGUGAUCGGCCACAUUGGAACUGAGACACGGUCCAGACUCCUAGGAGG